Molecule: ribosomal RNA, 524 nt
Filed under: Crenicara punctulata
Lineage: Eukaryota; Metazoa; Chordata; Actinopteri; Cichliformes; Cichlidae
Description: partial 16S ribosomal RNA
Rfam family: Bacterial large subunit ribosomal RNA
Source: RNAcentral
GUCCCGCCUGCCCUGUGACUACAGGUUAAACGGCCGCGGUAUUUUGACCGUGCAAAGGUAGCGCAAUCACUUGUCUUUUAAAUGAAGACCCGUAUGAAAGGCACCACGAGGGCUUAACUGUCUCCUUCCCCCCGUCAAUGAAAUUGAUCUCCCCGUGCAGAAGCGGGGAUUUAUUUACAUAAGACGAGAAGACCCUAUGGAGCUUUCAGGCUUCUGAACAGACCACUAUUUUCUUAACUUACACUAGACACCUGUCCCUGUUCUGCUUGCCUUUGGUUGGGGCGACUGCGGGGAAUUAAAAAACCCCCGCGUGGACUGAGAACAUAACCCCUUUCUCAUACCCACGGACUACACUCCCAAGUAUCAGAAUUUCUGACCAAAAUAUUGAUCCGGCACCGCCGAUCAGCGAACCAAGUUACCCUAGGGAUAACAGCGCAAUUCCCUUCUAGAGCCCAUAUCGACAAGGGGGUUUACGACCUCGAUGUUGGAUCAGGACAUCCUACUGGUGCAGCCGCUACUAAGGG